This 803-nucleotide long non-coding RNA is filed under the name Xyrichtys novacula (pearly razorfish). Lineage: Eukaryota; Metazoa; Chordata; Actinopteri; Labriformes; Labridae. The record is from RNAcentral.
GCUGUAUUAAUGCUUGUGACGCUAUUGUACAGCUCUGCUGAUAUCAUCGUCUUUAACAGCAGUGUUUUCUCCCAGGUCUUCUUCAAGCCAGUUAAGAAAGGAAGAACAGCUUAGACACUCAGGCAGCUGAACUCACCAAAGGUGGACAUCAUGCAGCCCCCCUGAGCCUUGAGCCUCUCUGUGUGAGGAAGCUUUGCUGCUGCAGACCUGGUGAAGUUGCUCUGGACAGAAAUAUUUUUUGCUCUGCUGCAGUGCUGAAGGUAUUCAUUGUAAUGAUGUGUGUAUUUAUUCAAUAUGUUUAGUUUCACAGAUUAUCAACACAAAUGUUUCUGUUUAUUUCCUGUUUUCAACCAGCUACAUUCUCCUACUUCAAGUCACUGUCUGUUCAUCCACGGUGUAGCUAGUGCAGCUAACUAAUGGUGAUCCUACAAGUCCUGCAGUCCUGUGAAGCAAGCUGCAGCAGAUGUCAUCACAUUCAGAUCAUCAGUUCAUCUCUACUGCAGCUUUAAACUGUCCCUGAGGUAACGGUGUAUUUCCUUGCCCCAUAACAAUAACCAUGUUUGACAAACAUAGAAAAGCACAGUAUUACUGUUAGCACAGGAUUUUUGUAUUGAUUACAGAGUUAAAGUGAAGGGGAUUUUUUUUUUUUUUUCAGACCUCUCUUCCUCCUGCCUCUGACUCCAGUGAUGCUGUCAACUCGAACACUGAUAACUGCACACGGCGAUUCUACAACCACAGGUCAAAGGUCAAAACAUUACCUUCACUCUGAACUGUACCGGCCUCUGCUUUUGGUUUUGAAAAAA